This 91-nucleotide ribosomal RNA is filed under the name uncultured bacterium. RNAcentral's name for it is "partial 16S ribosomal RNA". The record is from RNAcentral.
UAAAGCCCUGUCGAGUGGGAAAAAUGGUCAUUGGAAUAAUACGCCAGUGAAUUGAUGGUACCACUAGAGGAAGCACCGGCUAACUCCGUGC